RNAcentral lists this unclassified non-coding RNA (288 nucleotides) under Glomus sp. Its description in RNAcentral is "partial contains 5.8S ribosomal RNA and internal transcribed spacer 2". Lineage: Eukaryota; Fungi; Glomeromycota; Glomeromycetes; Glomerales; Glomeraceae. The record is from RNAcentral.
GUGAAUCAUCGAAUUUUUGAACGCAAAUUGCACUCUCCUCGGAGAGGAGGCCUGUGUGAGGGUCAGCCUAUAAAAAAUCGACAUCGUUGCUGUGUCGCGGUGGCGUUCUUCAUAAAUUGGGGCAUCUGAAAUCCUUUUGAUUGAAGCGACUUAAAAGUAUCGUUUGGUUCCAUGAACGUUGCUAAGAUCUAGGUCUUUACACGUUUAAGGUAUCGAGUUGUACUAGACGUGACCAGCAUAUCGGAGCGCGUCCAUAAGCUUGCAUUAACUGACCGAAGACAGGUAAGA